RNAcentral lists this unclassified non-coding RNA (230 nucleotides) under uncultured fungus. RNAcentral describes it as "sequence contains ITS1, 5.8S rRNA gene". The stretch from base 182 to 230 matches the Rfam family "5.8S ribosomal RNA", at positions 1 to 49 of the family's 154-position model. The record is from RNAcentral. Lineage: Eukaryota; Fungi.
UCUCCGUUGGUGAACCUGCGGAGGGAUCAUUACCAAAGAUGGCGGGCCUCCGUGCCCCCGUCCCCAACCCAUUGUUGACCAAAACCCUUUUGCCUCGGGGGCCGAGCGUCCGCCGCCGCCGCCCCCGGAGGACCAUUCAACGCUGUCUCUUUGCGUCGGAGUAAUUGAUUAAAUAAAUGAAAACUUUCAACAACGGAUCUCUUGGUUCUGGCAUCGAUGAAGAACGCAGC